AAAUUCCAAGCGCCAGCCGGCAUUAACAGUGUCUACACCAUUUUGCAUGACCGCCAGCACUGGAUGGGAGUUCCAGUUCUGCAUGCUUGCCUGAACCUGGUGUUAGUACAUCAUGCAAAAUGCCAGGCUGGAUGGAGCACAAGCUGGAAUCAAAAUUGCUGGGAGAAAUAUCAAUAGCCUCAGAUAUGCAGAUGACAUCACCCUUAUGGCAGAAAGCAAAGAACUAAAGAGCCUCUUGAAGAAAGUGACAGAGAAGAGUGAAAUAGUUGGCUUAAGACUCAAGGUUCAAAAAACUAAGAUCAUGGAAUCUGGUCCCAUCACUUCAUGGCGAAUAGAUGGGGAAGCAAUGGGAAUAGUGGCAGACUUUAUUUCUUGGGGGCUCCAAAAUCACUGCAGAUGGUGACUGCAUUAAAAGACGUUUGCUCCUUGGAAGAAAAGCUAUGAUCAACCUAGACAGCAUAUUAAAAAGCAGAGACGUUACUUUGCCAACAAAGGUCCAUCUAGUCAAAGCUAUGGUUUUUUUCAUGUAUGGAUGUGAGAGUUGGACUAUAAAGAAAGCCAAAGAAUUGAUGCUUUUGAACUGUGGUGUCGGAGAAGACUCUUGAGAGUCCCUUGGAUUGCAAGGAGAUCCAACCAGUCAUUCCUAAAAGAGAUCAGUCCUGAAUAUUUAUUGGGAUAACUGAUGCUGAGGUUGAAACUUCAAUACUUUGGCCACCUGAUGUGAAGAACUGACUCCCUGGAAAAGACCCUGAUGCUGGGAAAGAUUGAAGGUGGGAGGAGAAGGGGGACGGCAGAGGAUGAGAUGGCUGGAUGGCAUCACUGACUCGAUGAACGUGAGUUUGAGCAAGCUCUGGGAGUUGGUGAUGGACAGGGAAGCCUGCAGUCCACGAGGUCGCAAAGAGCUGAACACGACUGAGUGACUGAACUGAACUGAUACAAGUAAUCUAUGUAUCUAUUUAUCCAUCCAUCUAUGUCUCCAUCGAUCCAUCUAUCUAUGUAUCUCACAGGGCCAAGCACCUAGUAGGCAUUUAACGUCUACUCUGGAAUUUAAAAAGAAAGGAUUAAACAAGCACUUGAGAAUUUUUAUUGAAAUAGGGAGAGAGCAGUAAAAACUACAAGGUUUUAUAUUUUUGUAAGGAGAGAGCAACUUGAGGAAGUAUAUAGGGUGAGGAGAAGAGCCCAUGGAAAGGGUAGAAAUUGAAAAUAUCAGGAAAGAAAGAAUUAGAUCCUGCUGGAUAUGGGAAUGAGAAGGAGUUAAAACCAUAAGUGGAGAGAUUGCUUUGAUCACUCUCUGUACACUCUGUGGUAUACACAUUCAACUCCAGUCAUUUCUGUUUUCUCCCUGGGCUUUUAAGGCAGUAAGCAAUUGAACUAAAAGUUCUAUGUGAUAUUUUCUAGCUUUGUAUACAUGAUGUAUACCAGCCAGCUGCUGAAAAUAAUGUUUGUUAGAAGAGAACUCUCUAGUCAGGGGUAAUGACACAAAUGGCAAAAUGGGGGCCAAAGGACAGCUUCUCCUUUCCUGCUGCACUCAACUACUAAUACUGUCCUAAACAUCAUAUAUUAAAUUCUUUUAUUUUUCUGCAAAAAGCACAAUCUCACUGGACAUAUGUUUUCCUGUACUAUCAAAUUUUGAAAUAAAAGAGAGUUAUGCCAAAACAAA
Dama dama (fallow deer) is the source of this 1660-nucleotide long non-coding RNA. RefSeq lists it as uncharacterized. The transcript has 3 exons. NCBI's taxonomy places the organism in Eukaryota, Metazoa, Chordata, Mammalia, Artiodactyla, Cervidae. The record is from RefSeq and is a predicted model, not a curated record.